GAUGAAGAACGUAGCGAAAUGCGAUAAGUAAUGUGAAUUGCAGAAUUCAGUGAAUCAUCGAAUCUUUGAACGCACAUUGCGCCCGCUGGUAUUCCGGCGGGCGUGCCUGUUCGAGCGUCAUUUCAACCCUCAAGCUCUCCGGAGUUUGGUGUUGGGGCGCCUGGGGCUUUUCGACCUCAGGACCCUCAAGUCCAUCGGCGGGACCGCCAGGACACUGAGCGCAGUAGUAUUAUUUCGCUCGGUAGGAUCUUCCACGGCGGGUCGAUCUGGCCGCUAAACCCCCCAAUUCUCACCAAAGGUUGACCUCGGAUCAGGUAGGAAUACCCGCUGAACUUAAGCAUAUCAAUAAGCGGAGGA
This 357-nucleotide unclassified non-coding RNA is filed under the name soil metagenome. RNAcentral describes it as "partial contains 5.8S ribosomal RNA, internal transcribed spacer 2, and large subunit ribosomal RNA". The stretch from base 1 to 120 matches the Rfam family "5.8S ribosomal RNA", at positions 35 to 154 of the family's 154-position model. The record is from RNAcentral.